RNAcentral lists this long non-coding RNA (3703 nucleotides) under Lynx pardinus (Iberian lynx). Lineage: Eukaryota; Metazoa; Chordata; Mammalia; Carnivora; Felidae. The record is from RNAcentral.
ACGUCCUAAAGUGAAUCGACCGCUACCCUCCAGACUCUCGCUUAAACUCGCGGUAGGGCACAGUUCUCCGAACCAAAAGCUGAAAGCAGUUUGGCUUAUAGAUCUAAAAAAUGGUAUGUAAUGUAUUAUGUGUAAUGUAAUUAUAUGUAAAUAUAAAGUGAGAGUGAAGACCUUGACAGGGGAAGAUUGUUGUACACAAUGCAUGCCUGCUUGCUUUUGUAAAUAUUAGAACUUGGCUCUUAGCUUCCUGGUAGCCAAAGAGAAAAGGGAGACAGGAGCUAUUCCUUCUUUUAAGUCAGGAGAAGCAAAGCUUUGGUUAAUCACGGAAUUAUAAAGGUUUUUUUCUAUCACUGUAAAUUCUUUAAAUUAAGAAGGUUUUUAAAGCAGCACAUAUUAUUGGGGGAAGGAUCAAUUAUAUUCCUGUUGCAAAUGUUGUGACAGAUAUUACGUAGCUUCAUAAUAAUAGCUAAUACUUAUUAAGUAUUUUGUUACUAAGCACUUCACAUAUAUUUCUAAUUUAAUCCUUACAAGGUUUUUAUUAAAGAGGGAUUGUGAUUAGCCUCGUUUUACUUAAUGAGGAAACUAAGGCUCAGAGAGGUUUAGUGGGGAGCCAGGAUUAAACCCAAACAGUCUGAUUCCAGACCUCAAUCUUAAACCACUAUUCUAUGUUGUUUAACACACUUUGAUAGUUAAAAGGCACGUAAAGUUGAUUAAAUUAAAAUUUUUGUCGUAGAUAGUAAAAGUCCAUUCUUCAUUCAUAAUGUUCAAUGUCUUCAGUCCUUUAUACCAUUCCACUGAAAUUACAUUCUCAUCCCCCCAAUAACUUCUUAAUGUCCAAUGUCAUUUUUCUCAAUGUCUUCAUCCCAUUUUAUGACAAUUUCUUACUAGAACAAUAUAAAAUAUGUAUUAUAUUCUCAAAUAUAGUCAGCGUUAACAAUAUAAAAUAUGUAUUAUAUUCUCAAAUAUAGUCAGCUUUAAUAAUGGUUUUAAAUAAAAGCAAAUUUGUUUAAAUCACUUCAUGAUUCCACAUAUUCACAAAGAGCUGAGAAAAGAGGGGGAAGCAUUCAUAUAACCCCUAGGGUUAGUCUCUCAUGGGUAAACCAGGUGUGAUUGGAGAUAUGUAAACAAGUUCUUCCACUCUUCUAUUGCCAUCUCCAAAAUCAUAAUGUAUCUUAAAUUUUACUAGUAAUGAGAAUUCCAUUGGUUUUAAACACUCACUGUGCUGGGUCUCUUUAAAAAUUAUCAUUCGCUGUCCUCCAUGUUAGGUGUAGGCAUAGAGGCAGGAGAUGGAGGAAGGAAAACCUGGUGAUAGAAAACUUGAAGUACUUCACAGUGUUAAAUGUGACUUGAUACCCAUGAUACGUUCAUAUUUUAUUUAUACUUUGCUGUGGAGAUGAUGUUACACAACUGUCUUAAAAUAUAUGAGCCUAACUUAAAUUGGUGGGUUUCUGAGUUAGUCUCUACAGGUGGGAAUGGCUAUUACACAUCAAAAUCACACACAUACACACACAUACAUACAUACAUAUACAUACACACACAAAUAUACACACAAACAUAUAGUUGUUUGGUUCUACAAAAUAAAUGUAAACGCAGGCUGAAAACAACCAAUAGGAAAAAGAAUCUCAAUUCUGAAAGUGGAAAAGUAAUUUUUUAAAUUUCAUUUUACAUUUUACUUUUCACAAUAAACUUAUGCAUUUUCUCAGGAGUUAUUGCUCAGAAUGACUUAACUUUAUUUCUCAUGAAACAUCCACCUUUACUUAUCUCAGUAUUAUACAAUAGACAGGUCUUUUAAUGUGCUUUUAUUUUUUUGUUUAUUUAUUUUUUAGAGAGAGAAAGAGUGUGAGCAGGGGAGGGGCGCAGAGAGGGAAACACAGAAUCUGAAGCAAGCCUUGGGCUCUGAACCGCCAGCACAGAGCCCGACAUGGGGCUUGAACUCACGAACUGUGAGAUCACAAACUGUGAGAUCAGCUGAAGUCGACGCUUAACCGACUGAGCCACCCAGGCGCCCCUAAUGUGCUUCCAUUUUUACAAAGAUGCCACCUAGUGGCUGUAUGAAAUCAAACAUUUCAAAGUAUUUCUCAUUGUUUACUCCAGGCCAAAAUGUAUUUUGAUAUAAAUGAAUGUAUUAGAAAAAAUAUUAGAAGAAUUUAGAAAACCAAGGACCUGAAAAUUAUGCUUUUAGAAAUUAUUUAUAUGGAUUAAGUUUGGACCAUACCUCUGUGAGCUUGUUAAGAAACUAUAUAUAUGCUUUUUUUUUCUGAAAACUUUUUUCUGAAACUUUAAGGGACAAAUGUGUUUGAAUUCAGAUUUUGCAGAUUUUUGAAAGGAAAUGUGAGCAUAUGCUGUAUAUUCUGUAACACUGUCAGUAGGUCUGGGGAAGUAGUCCAGAAUCAAAUACAUUAAAUCUGUGACAAAAAUAUAUUCAUAUUCACAUUAAAGUGAGAUGAAGACCAAUUCAGGUCAGCUUUUGCUUCCAAAUGAAUUAUGAAAGAAGCUUCCAUUCAAACAUUCUUGAAGUCUGGUACUUAGGUAGGGAUUGUAGAUCUGUUUUACCCUGAGGAAAGGAAUCAGCCGUCCAGUGAUCGAAAAAAGAAAGUAAAAUGAAAUAUUGUUAUAAAACAGUAAUGUUUAUCUUUAGAAAUGCAUAAAAUGUUCAUCCGGAAGCAAGCAAACAAACAAACAUGAUAUUCGAAGAUCAUGAGAAAUCUCCUGGCCUAUGGCUAUGGAAGCAUGUGUUGAAAUGGCAUCAUCCUCAGCUCAGAGCCCUUGAGUGACUCUUUCGAGAACUGUCAGCCCUCAUUAGACCUGUAAUAUGAGCAAGAAACAAACUUCUGUUGUUAAGACAUUAGGAUUUAGGGGUAGCCUAUUAUAAUUCACUAUUUUUCUCAAUCGUCAGCUACUUUCCUUCACUAACUAGAGUUUUGAUUUAUUCCCUCUAAAUAAACACUUUUAAAUAAACUUCUCCGGUCCCCAUCAAUAACUCAAAUCACACAUCACAUUCCCACUUUGAUUUUUUGUGAAUUCUAUUAAAAAUAAACCUCUUGAUCCUCGUCUAAACCAAACGUCUACCUUUUCAUUUACUUUGUUCUCAAAAAGGUAGUAUUACUAUUAUUGUAGCAUGGGCAGCAAUCCCGUUAGUUAAGUACUGAGUUUUAAAGAAUAUUCUACCCUCAGUUGGAAAAUACUCAUGGUAUGUUCAGCAGUUUGCUACUUUACCCUAGACCCCACAACACACUUGCAUAGGAGUGUUUAUGUAACCACGGAGGCUGGGAGGGAAAGGCAAAGGUUGGUAUUAGCCUGUAUGUGGGAAUUUUCUUAUACAGAACAUUGUUGAUUUCCUCCCUUUGACAGAGAAAACAUGAGGGUACCAUCUGUCUUCCAGUGACUGGGGCCUGAUGUAAAGAACUGGGAAGUGGCAUACAAACUCUGAUGAUGUCUUCUCUGCAGUUGGAGCACGUGUGAAGCAAGGUCCUGCAAGACCCGAAGACCUUAGCUUCUGAGAACAGUGGAACUGAUCUCUUAGACUUCAUGGGAGAGUUCCUGGAUAAACAGAACACAGACUAUCUGGAAUACCAUCCUGGUGGGCAGAAGGAAUUAGAAGAGCUGGCCCAAAGGGUAUCUGUUUGAAAAGCCUGCUAAAGCAUCAAGUAGAGACAAGUUCCGAGGGCAACACAGCAAACCUUCCCAUUGUAGUAGGUCCCAA